This 492-nucleotide ribosomal RNA is filed under the name Triticum aestivum (bread wheat). RNAcentral's name for it is "partial small subunit ribosomal RNA". The record is from RNAcentral. Lineage: Eukaryota; Viridiplantae; Streptophyta; Magnoliopsida; Poales; Poaceae.
AUGACAACCAAUUUUGCAGAGGUGUAUAACUUUGUACUCAGAGGGAAUAGAGCAUUGCCACUCACAGCUGUUGUGGAGUCUGUAUUCCAUGGCACUCUGAGAUAUUUUCGAGAAAGGCACGAGUUAGCAAAGAAGCACAUUGCAGAUAAUCACAACACACCUUAUUGUAGUCGUGCCAUGGAAUACAUGGCAAAGAAGAUAGAGAAAGCAAAUAAGCACACUGUGAAACUCAUAGGGAAUCAAGAAAGGAGGUAUGAGGUUCAGCUUCCGACCGAUGGUUUUGGUUCUACAAAUGAGGUGAAGACACAUGAGGUAAAAAUUGGAACGGAAUUUUAUCCAACGUGUGAGUGUAUAUGCAACAAACCUAAGUUUUUGCACCUACCAUGCUCACAUGUGUUGGUUGCCUGUGACCAGAUUGAGUUGGAUGCUAUCUCCUUCGUGUCCCCAUACUAUUUAAAAGAGGCAGUACUCAAACAUGGACAGGUGAGAUGA